Molecule: ribosomal RNA, 311 nt
Filed under: uncultured bacterium
Lineage: Bacteria
Description: bacterial SSU rRNA
Rfam family: Bacterial small subunit ribosomal RNA
Source: RNAcentral
GACGAACGCUGGCGGCGUGCUUAACACAUGCAAGUCGUACGACAGCAUCUCUUCGGGGGUGUAUGGAGUGGCGAACGGGUGAGUAACACGUAAGUAACCUGCCCUUUUCUUUGGGAUAACUCGCGGAAACGUGGGCUAAUACCGAAUAUUCACAUAUGUCUGCAUGGGUGUGUGUGGAAAGGUCUUUUAGCCGGUAAGGGAUGGGCUUGCGGCCUAUCAGUUUGUUGGUGGGGUGAUGGCCUACCAAGACGUGGACGGGUAACCGGCCUGAGAGGGUGUUCGGUCACACUGGGACUGAGAUACGGCCCAGA